GAUGAACGCUGGCGGCGUGCCUAAUACAUGCAAGUCGAGCGAACAGAUGAGGAGCUUGCUCCUCUGACGUUAGCGGCGGACGGGUGAGUAACACGUGGAUAACCUACUAUAAGAAUGGGAUAACUUCGGGAAACCGGAGCUAAUACCGGAAAAUAUAUUGAACCGCCUGGUUCAAUAGUGAAAGACGGUUUUGCUGUCACUUAAAGAUUGAUCCGCGCCGCAUUAGCUUGUUGGUAAGGUAACGGCUUACCAAGGCAACGAUGCGUAGCCGACCUGAGAGGGUGAUCGGCCACACUGGAACUGAGACACGGUCCAGACUCCUACGGGAGGCAGCAGUAGGGAAUCUUCCGCAAUGGGCGAAAGCCUGACGGAGCAACGCCGCGUGAGUGAUGAAGGUCUUCGGAUCGUAAAACUCUGUUAUUAGGGAAGAACAAAUGUGUAAGUAACUAUGCACGUCUUGACGGUACCUAAUCAGAAAGCCACGGCUAACUACGUG
RNAcentral lists this ribosomal RNA (496 nucleotides) under uncultured bacterium. RNAcentral's name for it is "partial 16S ribosomal RNA". It matches the Rfam family "Bacterial small subunit ribosomal RNA", at positions 28 to 507 of the family's 1533-position model. The record is from RNAcentral.